RNAcentral lists this ribosomal RNA (425 nucleotides) under uncultured bacterium. Its description in RNAcentral is "bacterial SSU rRNA". It matches the Rfam family "Bacterial small subunit ribosomal RNA", at positions 354 to 796 of the family's 1533-position model. The record is from RNAcentral.
GUGGGGAAUAUUGGACAAUGGGCGAAAGCCUGAUCCAGCAAUGCCGCGUGAGUGAUGAAGGCCUUCGGGUUGUAAAGCUCUUUAGUCCACGAAUAUAAUGACUGUAGUGGAAGAAUAAGCCCCGGCUAACUUCGUGCCAGCAGCCGCGGUAAUACGAAGGGGGCGAGCGUUAUUCGGAAUCACUGGGCGUAAAGCGUGCGUAGGCUGUUUUGUAAGUCAGAAGUGAAAGCCCAGGGCUUAACUCUGGAAUUGCUUUUGAAACUACAAGACUCGAAUUCGGGAGAGGAUAGCGGAAUUGUCAGUGUAGAAGUGAAAUGCGUAGAUAUUGACAGGAACACCAGUGGCGCAAGCGGCUAUCUGGACCGAUAUUGACGCUGAGGCACGAAAGCGUGGGGAGCAAACAGGAUUAGAAACCCGUGUAGUCC